AAUACGAUAUUAGUGUUACGGUGGGGAUUAUAAACCGGUGGUUCAUGGACCCCGAAGUCCAGACAUCCAUAUGGAUAAAAACAUGGGUGUCCAUUAGGUUGUGUAUGGUUAGGCUAGGUCAGGUAACCAAGCUUUGGGGUAGUCUUUUCUCCAAAUAUUAACCUAUGUAAAUAAAAAUCGGGAUUUUCUUCAAUGGUCGCAAUUAAAAUAA
This is a non-coding RNA of Cinara cedri, 211 nucleotides long. The record is from the annotation of a GenBank genome assembly. NCBI's taxonomy places the organism in Eukaryota, Metazoa, Arthropoda, Insecta, Hemiptera, Aphididae.